This 300-nucleotide long non-coding RNA is filed under the name Populus trichocarpa (black cottonwood). RNAcentral's name for it is "long non-coding RNA (PTRI_LNC002536)". The record is from RNAcentral. Lineage: Eukaryota; Viridiplantae; Streptophyta; Magnoliopsida; Malpighiales; Salicaceae.
AUAUAAUUUGUUAUGCGAGCCUGUUGGGAAUUUUGUUUAAGCUACAGGAUAAAUAUGGUGAUCAUCACCUUAGCCUUGAUAUGACGGAGUAAAUUCAAUUUGAUCCAGAUGUCAAGUAUAUGGAGAUAUUUCAUGGCUGUUUGGGUUAAUUGCCUGUUAUUUGGUUGAUUAAUUAGUGCUAUGGCAAUCCCAUGUGCUGGUACUGGGUUGGGUUGUCAAAUGUAGCAGUAAUGUGGAUCUAAGGUAGUAUAUUUUACCAACUCAACGCUACAAACUUUUAAUCUUUGCCAAUUGGGAUCG